AUUGAACGCUGGCGGCAUGCUUUACACAUGCAAGUCGAACGGUAACAGGCCUUCGGGUGCUGACGAGUGGCGAACGGGUGAGUAAUGCAUCGGAACGUGCCCAGCGGUGGGGGAUAACGCAGCGAAAGCUGUGCUAAUACCGCAUGUGAUCUGAGGAUGAAAGCGGGGGACCAGGCAGCAAUGUUUGGCCUCGCGCCUUUGGAGCGGCCGAUGUCAGAUUAGGUAGGUGGUGGGGUAAAGGCCUACCAAGCCGACGAUCUGUAGCUGGUCUGAGAGGACGACCGGCCACACUGGGACUGAGACACGGCCCAGACUCCUACGGGAGGCAGCAGUGGGGAAUUUUGGACAAUGGGCGCAAGCCUGAUCCAGCAAUGCCGCGUGCGGGAAGAAGGCCUUCGGGUUGUAAACCGCUUUUGUACGGAACGAAAAGGCUCUGGCUAAUACCUGGGGCUGAUGACGGUACCGUAAGAAUAAGCACCGGCUAACUACGUG
Molecule: ribosomal RNA, 492 nt
Filed under: uncultured bacterium
Lineage: Bacteria
Description: partial 16S ribosomal RNA
Rfam family: Bacterial small subunit ribosomal RNA
Source: RNAcentral